GACGAGGCGAUUAUCGACGGAGUUCAAAGUUCUUGAAUCGAGAUUAACGCUUUGCUUGAUUAGAGUAAAUGGAUAGCAAGUGGGAUGGUAUGAUAUGAUUUGAAGAGUUAAGCUUCCGAAGUUUUAAUUCUCGGAAGUCAUUUGUAUAAGAAGAAAAAGAAGG
Mercurialis annua (annual mercury) is the source of this 163-nucleotide long non-coding RNA. RefSeq lists it as uncharacterized. Lineage: Eukaryota; Viridiplantae; Streptophyta; Magnoliopsida; Malpighiales; Euphorbiaceae. The transcript has 2 exons. The record is from RefSeq and is a predicted model, not a curated record.